UAAAGAGGGUGCGAGCGUAAAUCGGAAUUACUGGGCGUAAAGCGCACGUAGGUGGCGACGUAAGUCGGGUGUGAAAGCCACGGGCUCAACCUGGGAAUUGCAUUCGAGACUGCAUUGCUCGAGUACGGAAGAGGAAGGCGGAAUUCCUGGUGUAGCGGUGAAAUGCGUAGAUAUCGGGAGGAACAUCAGUGGCGAAGGCGGCCUUCUGGUCCAGUACUGACACUCAAGUGCGAAAGCGUGGGGAGCAAACAGG
This 253-nucleotide ribosomal RNA is filed under the name uncultured bacterium. RNAcentral describes it as "partial 16S ribosomal RNA". It matches the Rfam family "Bacterial small subunit ribosomal RNA", at positions 524 to 776 of the family's 1533-position model. The record is from RNAcentral.